This is a long non-coding RNA of Tigriopus californicus, 425 nucleotides long. RefSeq lists it as uncharacterized. The record is from RefSeq and is a predicted model, not a curated record. The transcript has 2 exons. NCBI's taxonomy places the organism in Eukaryota, Metazoa, Arthropoda, Copepoda, Harpacticoida, Harpacticidae.
GGGUGCGAGAACACACAGUCAACUCGCACCAUCCUCCCAGUGGAUUUUCAAUAAUCGAGUGAUUUUGAGUGGGCUGUGUUGCAAACCCCAACAAAAUGAACAUGUUCUGUGUUAUUCGGACUCACUAUCAAAUUGCUCAAUACCACAAGGCUAUUUGCCUAGACAAGCAGGUCAACAAUGUGGCAUCAUAUCAUUGUCCUGGGACCAACAUUUCUUUGGAAUAUUGACGGUUGCACCCAAUCGUCUGGCCGCAAGAUUGGCAAUCUGUCCAAUCGAGCCAUCCUCUACUCUACAACUAUCAAAAUUUCCAUCACUAUUCCUCUUCAAUAGCGUUUAUCUUACUUAUUCCUGAAAAUUGAGCUGAAUGUUGUCAAUGUCAUCUGUAUUUUCACCUGGUUAUCAAUAUACAUAUCAAUUAAACCCUG